This 21-nucleotide non-coding RNA is filed under the name Arabidopsis thaliana (thale cress). The record is from RNAcentral. Lineage: Eukaryota; Viridiplantae; Streptophyta; Magnoliopsida; Brassicales; Brassicaceae.
UUUAUUUCACAAAGUGGCUGC